Molecule: long non-coding RNA, 1197 nt
Organism: Cavia porcellus (domestic guinea pig)
Lineage: Eukaryota; Metazoa; Chordata; Mammalia; Rodentia; Caviidae
Exons: 2
Source: RefSeq, a predicted model, not a curated record
GGCUGCCCCUGCCACUCAUGCUGGGAAGCUGCUGUUCACCAUCCCUGCUCUGCUGUCCUGAUGAGGCCUGGCCCUGGCCCCAGCCCCAUACCUGGGAUGGUCACAACUGCUGGGACCAGUCCUAUGGGGACCCCUGCUCAAAGCACACAGGAAGCCACUCACGUCGGGACUGGGCACCUUCAGGACACCAGAACCAGCCCCAGGAGGUGCUGAUGGCAGACCCCAGUCAAAUCUGCACUUCUGCCCCACCUUGGGCAGCUCUGGAGCCUCAGCCCCAAGACGGAGGAGGGAAAUCCCCAGGCUGAGCCUCAGCUGGUGUAGCUGGUUGGACAGCACUACCCGUGGACAUGCUGGGUUGGGCUGAGGCAACAGGUGGACAGGCAGAAACUGGCACAUGGCAGGGCAGGGCGCCCCACAGGUGUGGCAGUGACCCCACACCAACUGUGGAGGGGCUCUUAUGGUUGCACUACACUGGAGAUUCUGCCUGUCCAGCCCUCUCAGUGCUAACAGGCAUGUGCAGAGCUGACGAGCCCCCCAUCGCACCGUUUCCCAGCUGUGAGAGGACAAUGGUGUCUUCCUUGGGGUACAUGCUCUUAAAAUCUGUCACACGAAGGUACCAAAUCAGCAAGAGAAAGGCCUCUGGAAAACCCCCAGGCAUUUGAAAUGAAGAAACCUGUGAACAGCCCUCAGGCAGAGGAAGUCCUGGGGGAAGGCAGCCAUGUGAGAGGGCGUGGGCCUGGAGGAGGAGCCCCCUUAAGAGCCUGUGUCCCACGUGAGAGGCUGUGCAAGAGCACAGGGAGUCACAGCUGAGACAGCAGGGGCCACAGGACAGCCAGUGUCACUGGGGAGAGGGACAGACAGCUGCGGCUUGGCCUCCUGCCAUGUGCUGCCGGCAUAGAAGGGAGGGUGACUGCAGUGACCAUGGGCUCUGGGAGUCCCUGCUGGACGUGGUGUGAGCAGAGCCACAGCUUCUCUGAAUGGUCAAGGACCACUUGUGACUUCUCCCCAUGCUCCAUGAGGCCAUGUGGGCAUGAGGGCCAGGGUGCAAGACUCUGGAGGACCCCAGGGUGCAACCGGGGAUGCCCACAGAGCUGACUGCUGUGACCACAGAGGCCCUGGCUGCAGCCUGAGAUGGGCAUGCUACCCAGUGUUCGAAACAAAACCACAAAAGCCUGCAUCUUGCAUUUAAGUACAAAA